RNA transcript from Oncorhynchus tshawytscha (Chinook salmon), 1731 nucleotides. RefSeq lists it as uncharacterized. The transcript is spliced from 6 exons. The record is from RefSeq and is a predicted model, not a curated record. NCBI's taxonomy places the organism in Eukaryota, Metazoa, Chordata, Actinopteri, Salmoniformes, Salmonidae.
AGAAUUCAUGCUGAAUGUACAAUUCAAAGGAAUAGUGUGGAAUAACCUUUUAUACUUGUGACUUUUUGACAAACUGUUUUUUGACAAGUAUGUUAACGAAGCGGAAGCCUAACCACAAACAAAAGAGGAUGUAGCCUCUCUGCAUCAAACUUGUCACUAGAAGGCGGAACAGUAUCCAUUUUGAAGGUCACAUUUCAAUAUGGCAUGUGUUGUUCUCGCUCUUCUUACAAUCUUACCAGUGGUGAUGGGAGAUACCACUGGUUACCUGGGAGAUUCGGUCACCUUGUCUUCUGGAGCCAACUCAUCCUGGAUCUUGAGCAAGAUAGAGUGGUCUAUAUUCAGCAACAACACCUGGAUUGCAACGUACAGGAAAGAAUCACACCUUCUCAAAACAGACCGUUUCUGGCAGUUUCAGGGUCGUCUAAGUCUCAACAUCUCGUCCGGGGACUUAGAGAUAAGAGAUGUGAGGAUAGGGGAUGCCCUGGUUUACUCUGUUCUCCUUAAAGACUAUAAGGGAGAGCAGCAUAACGUACCUGUCCAGCUCACUGUGACAGAGCGUCUCAGCAAGCCCAGCGUCCGUAAGGUCUUCAGCAUGUUGAAGGACAGCCAUUGUGUGAUGGCUCUUCAGUGCUCCUCUUCAGUGAAGGACACCCACCUCUCCUGGGAACCAGAGGCUGUGUUUGAGGAUGCCUUCUGGAAGGGGAAUCCCAACACCAACGUCUCUGUCGUCUGGACGUCUUACAGCCCCAACAGAAAUGCCACCUUCACCUGUACUGCCAGCAAUGGGCUCUCUAAAGCCUCCAGGGUUGUGACGGAGAGAUGCCAAGAGCCCGGCAUGGUGGGAGAGACCCGCUUCCCUGGAAUAGUUUUUCUAAUGUUGCUCUUAGGAAUUGUGUUUGGAUGUGUUUUAACAUAUAUUUGUUUUAGAGUUGAGCUAAAAAUGUUCCCCGUAUCAACUUUGUAAACUUUGUUUUCAUGUGCAUGAUGCCUUGCUUAAAAUUGAUGUAAAAAAUCAAAUCCGCUGCAGCAGAUUUGCUUGGUCCUUUCUUGCUGCAGCUUUCUGCGGAGUAAUUAACACAGGUUUUUUAACUGCCAAUUCUCUUGGGUGUUAUCCCCAGGGUUUGGAAGGCGGCCGUGUUCUCCCUCUCCACAAUAGUGGUGAGAUACCAAACCCGGUCGCGGGAUGGCUUUCCCUUCGAUCUCCAAUGAGUUAGUGGGAGCAAAUUAAGCAUAGUGGGCAGAAAAAGCAAGAAGCCUGCAGGGAUCUCCACGGAGUCCCCUACUGUCUUGUGGAACGACCGGUAUGAAGAAACAACCACAACGGAAACAUAAAAAUGUACAUUGGCAUUCUGACAUCAAUCAAUGUUGACACUUUAUAUUACAGUGCACUUACUACUGUGUAAUUAUUCAUGUAAGUACGGUGUAGCAAGUGUUGUAAUUACUCAUUGUUACACUGUAUUACUUGUUACAUUGUGCCUACAUAAAUAAUUUCACAAUAAUACACUGCAAUGCAAAGUCCUACAUAAUCAAUAAUAGAUAAUAAUUGAUUGGAUUUAUAUAGCACAUUUCCGGGUUUGAUUUAUACUGUACGUGGCACUUUACAUAUUUGCACUUUUUACGUAUCUAAGCAUGUGGGUCCGAUUUUACUUCUUUACAUGUCAGUCAGAAGUAAUGUAUUAUAAACCCUUCAACCAAAACAACUGUCAUAAAUUAAAACAAAAUACAGUUACA